UGAUACUGGCAUUUGCUUGUCUGCGGUGU
This 29-nucleotide non-coding RNA is filed under the name Homo sapiens (human). The record is from RNAcentral. Lineage: Eukaryota; Metazoa; Chordata; Mammalia; Primates; Hominidae.